RNAcentral lists this non-coding RNA (30 nucleotides) under Mus musculus (house mouse). Lineage: Eukaryota; Metazoa; Chordata; Mammalia; Rodentia; Muridae. The record is from RNAcentral.
UGCCUAGACAGAGAAAUGAACAAUCACAGU